UUAAGCCCACCAGCGUACCGUGAAGUACUGGAGUGAGCGAUCCUCUGGGAACCACGGGUCGCCGCCUGCC
Molecule: ribosomal RNA, 70 nt
Filed under: Halorubrum ezzemoulense
Lineage: Archaea; Methanobacteriati; Methanobacteriota; Halobacteria; Halobacteriales; Haloferacaceae
Source: RNAcentral